This 48-nucleotide transfer RNA is filed under the name Bison bonasus (European bison). RNAcentral describes it as "partial tRNA-Val". Lineage: Eukaryota; Metazoa; Chordata; Mammalia; Artiodactyla; Bovidae. The record is from RNAcentral.
CAAGAUAUAGCUUAAACAAAGCAUCCAGUUUACACCUAGAAGACUUCA